Long non-coding RNA from Bos taurus (domestic cattle), 382 nucleotides. The record is from Ensembl. NCBI's taxonomy places the organism in Eukaryota, Metazoa, Chordata, Mammalia, Artiodactyla, Bovidae.
ACUUAAGACAACUUUGAGUUUCCUUCUCCACAGGAGAAUGAAGUUCCAUUCUGGGUUCUGAGAAAUUCCUAAAGAAUAUUUUCAUUUCCCAUUUAACUGAGUGAUUGCUACUUUCACCUACCCACUAACACAAGUCCUGAAUAGCAGGAAAAGCGUGGGGAGAAUAAAGUGCUGUAGAGUUCUGCUCAAUUCAGUGAACUCACAGAGCCAGGAAUUGUGCCAGACACUUCAAGGAAUAAAAUGAUGAUCAGAUCUGUUCCCAGUUCCACACUUGUCUACCCAGCUGCCUCCUCGACGUCUACGCUUGGAUGGCAAAUGGACUUCGCAAUGUGUUCAAAUCAGAGCUCCCAACAUGCUCCCCUGAAGCUGUUCUUCCCUUGAC